This 510-nucleotide ribosomal RNA is filed under the name uncultured bacterium. Its description in RNAcentral is "partial 16S ribosomal RNA". It matches the Rfam family "Bacterial small subunit ribosomal RNA", at positions 28 to 507 of the family's 1533-position model. The record is from RNAcentral.
GACGAACGCUGGCGGCGUGCUUAACACAUGCAAGUCGAACGAAGAGCGAUGGAAGCUUGCUUCUAUCAAUCUUAGUGGCGAACGGGUGAGUAACGCGUAAUCAACCUGCCCUUCAGAGGGGGACAACAGUUGGAAACGACUGCUAAUACCGCAUACGAUCCAAUCUCGGCAUCGGGACUGGAUGAAAGGUGGCCUCUAUUUAUAAGCUAUCACUGAAGGAGGGGAUUGCGUCUGAUUAGCUAGUUGGAGGGGUAACGGCCCACCAAGGCGAUGAUCAGUAGCCGGUCUGAGAGGAUGAACGGCCACAUUGGGACUGAGACACGGCCCAGAAUCCUACGGGAGGCAGCAGUGGGGAAUCUUCCGCAAUGGACGAAAGUCUGACGGAGCAACGCCGCGUGAGUGAUGACGGCCUUCGGGUUGUAAAGCUCUGUUAAUCGGGACGAAUGGUUCUUGUGCGAAUAGUGCGAGGAUUUGACGGUACCGGAAGAGAAAGCCACGGCUAACUACGUG